GGCGGUAGAAAGAGAGAACGACAGAGAGUGCGCGACGGAGGGAGAGAGAGAGAGCGCGGCGGAGGCAUAGAGAGAGACGCGGCGGUGAUGGAGGAACCGGCUAUGGUCUCCGGCCGACGGUAAUGUUGUCGAUCGUCGCUGAAUGGGAACUUGACGGCCGGGGGUUCUAGGGUUCCGGCGGCGGUAUCAGGUAACAAAGAGAAGAAAGAACUGGAAGGAGAGAGGCCCGGAACGGCGGCGCGCGGCCAGGCUGUGGCGGAGCAAAGGCGGCAAUACCGAUUUCCGUCGAGUGCACGGUUGGGAUUAAGUAAACAGAAGACAAAGAAGCUUAUUGUAGCAUCGGUUAGGUCACAGAAGCGGUUAUCAAGGUCGUACAAGAAGAACGAAAGCGCAUACGGUGGUCCCACAUCGAGCAGACAAUGCCGCUUCCGGCCAGAUUAGGGUUCCGUCCGUUAUCCGGUCACCCGCUUUCAUCUUGGAUGGUGGAUGGACAGCUCUGGUAGGUGAUUGUGUUGGGCGGUUCCCCUUGCAAAUAGAUUGUAUCAUUCUUAUCCGUUUUCGAUUAUAUCAUGGAAUACACCUAAUGUCGCUGAUGGUUUUCGAUUAGGGUUUGUGAGUUUUCAUAAUCGCUAAUGAAGUAAUAAAUUAUAUCAACUCAUCAUUCUGUUUAACAUGUGUUCAUGGAUGGUAAGACUUUUUUUUAGAUUACAAGGGUUUAGGGUUUCUAACAUUGAAUUUUCUAGAAUUAGAUGUGGAAGGCGCCGUUUAUGCAAAAAAUUAGGUUGACGUAUGGACUGAUGGCAACCUUGGUAGAGUAAUAAUUACCAAUUUUUGGUGGACCAGGAUGUGGAGACAGAACCGACGGCGGUUUUAGUGUACCACCGUAAUUAGCGGCGGAAACCAUCAUCUCAGAUAGGUUUACCAAGACUGACAGUUGCGGCUAUGUUGGGUACCAAAUCCUUAGGCCUUGGCGUAGUUAUAUGGAGAAGAGAGAAUUACAUAUCAACUGGAGCCAUGUGAAUACCACAAGAAUGGUGAUAUUUGGACCCAUUCUCACUUCUGGUUUGUAAUUCUUUGGAUUUACUAAAAUAACUUCAUGGUAAGUCUGAAGUACUUAUUAUUAACAUUUGUUAUUCAAAAACAAAAGAGAACCAAACAACAUAAAGGUAAUUUAUAUCCUUUUAUAGACAAGAAUUUGGCUGUAAAGGCACCUUUUUGUUCCUAUCUAAGCUCUAAUCAAAUAAAUGUUAAUUCCUAGACAAUAUAUGUAUUUAUGAAUAGUUAUCAGACUAGGUUUAGUAGUUAUCCAAAUAUAUAUAAGUUUCCUUGGCAAAAUAUUAUACAGUGUUGGGUUGUUGCUAAUAUGUUUUUUUUUUCUCAAAUUAUUCAGCAAAUAGGUGGACGUUAGGAAAUCUAAAAGCAUCCUGCUGUGUAUUAUGUACAUAACUCUCUGGACGCUGUGGAAAGAACGAUAUGGUUUGGUUUUUAGAGAUUUGAAGAGAUCGGCUGAUAGAGCGCGCGAAGACAUCAUCUCCUCCUUAUUCAAUUGGAUUAAUCACAGGUCUAAAAAUGUGGUCUGGGCUUCCUGUAUCCAGCUCGCUGGAGGCCUUUUGGCUUCAGCAAAUGGGUAUGAACUGAAGUUGUGAUGAAUUAGUAUUAUAACAUGAUAUACAAUCAAACAGUUUCACUUAGAUUUGACAUUGCAGAUUGUAUUUUUUUUGGUAACAAGUCAUACUACAGCUUGCAUUUUGUAGUUUUGUUAUCAACAAAAAAGGUAAAUGU
RNAcentral lists this long non-coding RNA (1782 nucleotides) under Helianthus annuus (common sunflower). Lineage: Eukaryota; Viridiplantae; Streptophyta; Magnoliopsida; Asterales; Asteraceae. The record is from RNAcentral.